GUUUGAUGUCUUUAUUCGAGGUAGGGGAGAAAGGUCUUUUUCGGUGCCACUGCUCCAUUUGCAUUUGUAGUUUUUGUCCUGCAUCUGGUAUCUUGGGACGUGUAAAUAAAUGGGCAAAAUACAAAAAAGUACUAUGUGGUUUGGGCUAUUUUCAAUUAGGGUCCUGUAGUUUUGAUUUGACAAAAUGGUAUCCUAUGGUUAAGUCCAUUAGUGAAGAAGGUACAAAUAUCCUAACACCAUUAAUGACUACUGACAUGGAAUUAUUUUUCUGCUUGCCUUGUCACCAGCUAUUAAUGGUGUUAGAGUGUUUGGACAUUCUUAGCUAACGGACUUAACCGCAGGACAUUAGCUUGUCAAAACUGAAAGUACAUGAUCCUUUUGAAAAUGGCCCAAACUACAAGCUACUUUUUUUUUUACUUUUCCUAAAUCAAAAUAUAAAUGUACGUUUUAUUUUGCAAGACCUUUUCACAUACACAUAAUUACAUGCUAUGUUAAUGGAGUGAUCUAUUGGUGAUGCAUAAUUGUGUUUUUCAGUUCUGAUACUUGAUUUUGUAUUUGCAUGCGAG
RNAcentral lists this unclassified non-coding RNA (566 nucleotides) under Hevea brasiliensis (rubber tree). Lineage: Eukaryota; Viridiplantae; Streptophyta; Magnoliopsida; Malpighiales; Euphorbiaceae. The record is from RNAcentral.